CCUACGGGGGGCUGCAGUGGGGAAUAUUGGACAAUGGGCGAAAGCCUGAUCCAGCCAUGCCGCGUGUGUGAAGAAGGCCUUCGGGUUGUAAAGCACUUUCAGUGGGGAAGAAAGCCUUGGGGCUAAUACCCUCGAGGAAGGACAUCACCCACAGAAGAAGCACCGGCUAACUCCGUGCCAAGCAGCCGCGGUAAUACGGAGGGUGCGAGCGUUAAUCGGAAUUACUGGGCGUAAAGCGCGCGUAGGCGGUCUGAUAAGCCGGUUGUGAAAGCCCCGGGCUCAACCUGGGAACGGCAUCCGGAACUGUCAGGCUAGAGGGCAGGAGAGGAAGGUAGAAUUCCCGGUGUAGCGGUGAAAUGCGUAGAGAGCGGGAGGAAUACCAGUGGCGAAGGCGGCCUUCUGGACUGACACUGACGCUGAGGUGCGAAAGCGUGGGUAGCAAACAGGAUUAGAUACCCGGGUAGUC
This 466-nucleotide ribosomal RNA is filed under the name Vreelandella stevensii. Its description in RNAcentral is "partial 16S ribosomal RNA". It matches the Rfam family "Bacterial small subunit ribosomal RNA", at positions 338 to 795 of the family's 1533-position model. Lineage: Bacteria; Pseudomonadati; Pseudomonadota; Gammaproteobacteria; Oceanospirillales; Halomonadaceae. The record is from RNAcentral.